This 1520-nucleotide long non-coding RNA is filed under the name Homo sapiens (human). RNAcentral describes it as "HSALNT0395299". The record is from RNAcentral. Lineage: Eukaryota; Metazoa; Chordata; Mammalia; Primates; Hominidae.
UAUGCUAGUUGCAACAACACAGAACCAAAAACUUACUACCCGAUUAUUAUGUGUAGAUGAGGCUGCAUAGAGAAUCAGGGAGGAUGGCAGGGAAAACUAACACACACAAAUGCAUCGCUUUCCUACAGGCACGUAACACAACAUAUGGCCAAAAGACCUCCCUACACAAUAUCAUUAGAAUCUUAAAAUACUUAAGAAACGUAAAAAGUGUACUGAAUCCAUAGUAACCAAACAUCGCUGAUGUUUUCACAUUCCGUGUUCUCAUAAAGAUUCAACAUUAUAAACAUGAUCAGUUCUCCCCUGAAUCUAAAUAUUUAGAACAAUAAAAAUACCAGCCUAUAAUUAACUAUAUAAAAUUCUAAAUUUCACAUUAUGAUAAGCCAGAAAAAGAAAAUAAGAACAUACAAACAUUUGCUUCUCAUUACAAAGAGAGACACAGCAGAGACACACUAGAAGAGCAGGAAGGCAGCCCGGGAAAGGCCGAGACAUGGCUUAGGAGGUUCAGGAAGACAAGACUGCAAUGCCUCAGACAAUCCUCAAUUUUUACAAAGAGCUUCUAUAAACCCACCCAGGUAAAGUGCUUUUAACUUAAAAGUAUUUUCAAAUAAGACUAUAUAUGACAAAUAACAUAUCACAGAAUAAUCACAAAACUUGUCAAAAAUGCCGUAAAAUAAAGAUGCCCUAAAUCUCUACAAUUUUUAAAAAUAAAUAUACUUCAAGUGUUAUAAUUUGGACAUAAAUACGUAAUAUACUUUGCUAUGUGAAGACCAGAAAUAUGUUACACACAGCUAUUUGUAUCAAAUUUGAUCCAAAAAUAUUAGACUUCAGAAACUUGGGAGUAGAGUACAGGGUAAGCUGAAGAACCAAGUAGCUCAAGAAAGCCCCUUGUUCUCAAGAGUUUGUGUGAUAAACACAGGCACUUGAAAUGUUCUAUAGACCUUGAAAUCUUUGUUUUGAGAAAACAGCCUGCAGUUCCCAUUUCUGCCAAAAGUCUCCUGGCUGAAAGUUGAAUCUGCCUUGUAGCAAGGACCUGGAGAUUCCAAAAGACAGGAGGUAGGUGAAGCCCACAUGGGAGGGGCACAGAGACAGGGUGGAGGAAGUCAGCAACAGCUGCAAACAUUAUUCCGCAGAACCUUGAGAAAAGGCAAAUUCCGGCUUCAAGAAAUACAAUGCAAUUCAAAAGACUGCAACUUCAUACAUAAAAAAGUCCCUCAGAAAGCCAAAUGCUCGGACUGGGUAACAGCACCAGCCACAGGCACCUGCUUUCUUCCAAGAAGGAGCUCUCACCUGUCACUCAAAAGCACCUGCACUGAGAAGUUGGGAGAGCCAGAGAAGACUCCUGCCCUUUCUGAAUUUUACCAAUUAUCUAUUCAAAUGUAUUUACUCAUAAGUGGGUACUCAAAUGGAAAUGAAAUGUAACUCAUAUGGAAAAUUCAUCCCUAACCUGUAUUCAACAGGAAAAGUAAUAUAUUCUGAAUGGUAUCGCUUUUUUUUUUUUUUGAGACAGAGUUUCACUCUUG